This is a long non-coding RNA of Sus scrofa (pig), 2207 nucleotides long. RefSeq lists it as uncharacterized. The record is from RefSeq and is a predicted model, not a curated record. NCBI's taxonomy places the organism in Eukaryota, Metazoa, Chordata, Mammalia, Artiodactyla, Suidae.
ACAAAAGCAACACCUUCAAAGUCUCUCUCAGUGACUAGAAGCAGCCAGACACUCAAACUGCCAGUCCUGAAUUACGGCCUCUGAAUGGUGAGGGCUUCACAUUUCACUGAUCAGGGCACAGCCCAAUCAGAAGACAAACCCCUGCACUGCCAGGGACCAGCAAAUCCGCUUUCUUCCAGUGUGCACAUGACUGAAUGUGCUUCUGUCCAUCAUCUGGGUCAUAUAUAGUUCAAUGCGAGCUGAGCAGACAGGGCUGCAAGGAAAUCUGGCGCGGUUCAAUACCUCGUCUAGCCUGGGUUCCAGUAUCCAAUUUUUUUUUUUUUUUUUUUUUUUAAAUGACAAACUCAUUUCUCUACCGGGACAGGAUGCUGUGCUGGCUGGAAGUUCCAUUUCUACAGCAAGAAUCCUAUCUGGAAACACAGAAGUUGUCCUCUAAGCCACAGCAGCUCGAACUUUUUUGAUUGUUGUUGCUGCUUUCUCCCAUCACCCCCACCCCCUUUUGACAAAGAUCCAACUGUAAAAAGUCUUACGUAACAGUUCAGGACUACUUCGGUUCUUUUACUGGUUUAUCAAGAGGACUAUGAGAACAUUUACAUCUCCAAGAUAGGACAAUGUGAGUUUCACAACAUUUUGUAGUACCUCUGGAAAAGGAAAGAAAGGAGGUAAGUGAAACAACAAUGGAUGGCAUGGUGAGUUUUGACAAACUCAAAAUCUAUCUAAAUCGAGAAUUAAACAGUGGACCGAUUUAUUAAAUGCACAGUAGCUUCUGUAAACUGGCUAAUUCAACCUUUAGUUUUUUAACCCUUAGACUUUAUCUUUGCAUUGAGUACAUAAACCUCUUGGCCAAACUAAUUUAAAAAACCCAAUGUGUGCCUUUCUUGAAGAUAAGAACUAAACUUAAGGAUUUAAAGCAAACUGAAGAAAUGAAGAUAAAAUGAAGGCCUUUACUGUCAUGAAAACCAUCUCAAACACAAUAAGAAAAACCCCUAAUGUCACUUUAGAAAUCUACCUUUCACUCUUCUCUAGUUUUUCAAGUCUAUGAAAAGCCUUCUUUUUUAGAAUGCCAUAAAUUUAAGCUACAGUAUUUUGUACACAUCUAAUGGUUUGGGGUAGCAGAGGUCAGCAUAUUUUUAAAGUCUGAUUAUUUAUCAAAAUGUAAUAAGGCAUUGACUUCUCUUCGUAUUAUCAGGCCAAGGGGAAGACCAUUUGAAAUAAACCUACUAAAGAGUUUUUAAAAUACUACACAGUAACAGCUGCUUGAUUUUUUGUUGUCAUUUGUACACAAUUUACUGUUACAACACUGAAGACUCAACAAAGCUGGAUAACUGAAGUGUUUUGACAGAGGGCAACAUAAUUAAACUAAUGUAGAAUGUAAACAGUUUAUAUACAAACCAAAUUCUCACUGGUUGAUUUUUUUUUUUAAUAUGUAUCAUUUGAGUGUUUAAAAAUGAAUUUGCGAACAGUCAACCCUUAAUAUUUAAACUUAAAGCAAAGGGUAAUAAGUAUCCCUGAUUAAAGAUUAUCCUCAAUUCAGCCAGCAGUUCUGUAAGCCCUUUUUCUCUGGAGCACUCCUGGAUCUCUAUUUAUGAACUCUAUGUUCUGAAAAGUUCCAUGUAAUUAAUUAAUUUUCCAGAUUUUUCUUUCUUUUUUUUGGGGGGGGGUCUUUUUAGGCCCACACCAUGGCACAUGGAAGUUCCCAGGCUGGGGGUUGAAUCAGAACUGCAGCUGCCAACCUAUGCCACAGCCAUAGCCACAGCCACGCCAGAUCUAAGCCACAUCUGUGACCUAUGACCACAGCUUGUAGCAACAUUGGAUCCUUAAUCCACUGAUUGAGACCAGGGAUCAAACCCACAUCCUCAUGGAUACUAAUCGGGUUCUUAACCCACUGAGUCACAUCAGGAACUCCUUUCCUUUUUUUUGUUUUUUCGGUUUUUUUUGUUUGUUUUUUGGUUUCGGGGUUUUUUGUUUUUUUUUGGCUGCACCUGUGGCAUAUGGAAGUUCCUGUGCCAUGGGCUGAAUCUGAGCCACAGCUGUGAUCUACACCACAGCUGCAGCAACGUGGGAUGCUUAAACCACUGUACCAGGCCAGGGAUCAAAUCCACACCUCAGCAGUGAUCCAAGCUGCUACACAGACACCAGAUUCUUAACCCACUGCACUGCAGCAGGUUCUCCAUUUUCUAGAUUUCUCACCAAGGAUAUUAAAAAAA